CUUUGUACUUCUGUAAAUGUGCUGUACAUGUAACUUUGUAUUUUUGUAAAUGUACUGUACACAACUUGCCUUUGUACCUGUUGACAAUGUACUGUGUAUGUAACCUGCAUUUGUACUUGUCAGUGUACAGGUAACUUGCCUUUGUACUUGUACCUUUACUUGUCAAUUUACUGUACAUGUAACUUCACUUUGUAAUUUUGUAAAUGUACUGUACACAACUUGCCUUUGUACGUAUUGUCAAUGUAUACAUGUGCAAAUGUGUGGUAUUUUGAAUAUCAUCUUAGCCACAGGAUGUCUUCAGGUUUGUUCUUCACAUUGCUGUUCAGCUGCAGACUGACUGACCUGGUCUGUUCUGAUCUGUAUCUACAAGACCAGUGUUUACCAAGUAUGGAGAAGUUGGAUCCUGGUUAAAGGUACCUGAGAUGUUGACCCUGAACCUUGGUCUAUUGGACACAUGUACAGGCUAACUAAUGUCAAAACCAGGAAAAAGCUCUAAGAAGAACACCACUAAAAGACAGGUUUUUCUUUCUCUGGUAUAUUUAUGUUAAUGAUCCAAUAUGUUGCUUGCUCUUAUCUUGGAUCCAGUAGACCAGAGAUUACAGAACUACAGCUAAAAUAAUCCAGGACUGUCUCAAGGUCUUGGCCUCCGAGGACACCAGGCUCAACACAGCUGACACAAGUUCAGCUGUAUAUGGAUUGUUGUUUUUCUUUGAUCAUCUUUAUCUGCAUGUUUCACUGGUGUACAGAAUAUGUUCUGAGUUGUUCAGGGUCACUAAUAGAUGGCCCGAGUGUAACUGUAGUAACAGCCUGCUGUACAGUGAUUGAAAUAUUGGUCUUUGUUUUAGGGCUUGUUAAUACGCUCUCAGUUGUUAGAUUAAUAUGGCUCUUCAACUCAUAGAUGUUGUUUUUAAAAUUUAUUUUAGUUUAAAUUGUCUUUAAUGGCAUUAAACAGUUUGGAUUUUUAGGGCCGGCUUAUCUCCCUCUGCCAAGUUAAUUUUCUACUAAAGAAAGAGAAACCCUUCAGUGGUAUUUAGACGACACGUUGGGAGGCCUCCCAGCAGGGGAACUCUGUCCUCUGCCAAAAAAUUGCGCGUUUUACUAGAUACAUGCGGGGUAAAAUGGAAAACUUAUAAAUAAGGCGGUUUAAUCUUGUGGGCAUACCGGUUAGAUUGCGCAAUUAGGUUCUUUAAUAGAAAAUAUACUUGGCAAAGAGACAAUCCAAGACUAGGUUAAGUUUAAGUUGAUAUUCAAAAUGGUUUUAAAAAAAUGAAUUUGGCAAAUUCUGUGGGCUGAAUAGUAGAAUUUAAAGGAGAAUGAUGUGGACCUUUGGUAGUGAUGCUAAUGGCUGCUCUAGUUACUUAUUACUUACUUAAGUAUACAGUUUACUCUGACACUUGAUAGCACUGAAAAGGAUUUAGUUUUACCCUCUUGUUGUUUUUAACCUUCUGAUUUUGUGUGAAGUUCAUAAGUAAAUAAAGCUGAUUUGGUAGAACUUGUAUGAUUUGUCAAAAGUUUAGUUGAGAGGCAGAUUUAGUGACAAAUUCUCCUCUCAUGUUACCACUACAACAGUGGCCAGAUGGUCUAGAGUGAGAUAAUUAGUAGGGUGUCAAUAGAAUCUUUCAGGUCACCUUGGUUAAUUGUUGCGAUGGAGAGAAGCUGAUCAGGUAGUGCAGACUUCGGACCUGGUUCUGAGUUCUUCCUACGAGUGUCUCUGCUUCAGAUCAGUUCACCCUCGGCCCUAAAGUCAGUUGUGAGUAUAGUCUUAGAAUUUCAUCACCAAGUCAUUAGACUAUUUUAGGUACUGAUGCAGACUUCCUGUGAUAUUUUAUUCCCAAUUCAAUCACAUGCUUCAGCUUCUUAACGACAAGUUAUGAUUAAAAAAAACUCUGCUAAUUUCACCUGAUUGGUCUAUGGAUUAACUGAGUGUGGAUGUAAUGAGCUUGGUUUCCUACUACAGAACAAGGUAAACUGAGUCGACUCAAAGUGGUGAGGUUUGUCCUUCCCCUUCUUCUGUUCAAGGAAAUCAGGUCAUUUUAUCCUCAUUAACCCAUCAUGGACACUGCUUCCAAAACCAGACAUGGAUCCCUCUGGGUUUGGAAUGCUGUAUCCUCAUGAUGUGGCCAGUAUUUUAUUUUUUAUUUUUUUUAAAUGUUAGCUCACCCUUUGGAGUAAAGCAAGCUGAAACAAUUUGUUUGGAUUGAUAUAAUAUUUUAGUGUCUGCCUUAGAUAUUGUUUAUUGUUCAAGGGAGCUUUGGUUCUCUGUAAUUGAAGUAUGCUGGCGAGAGAAUGGCUAGGGAUACUAGAGCAGUCAUAUAUAGUAUGAGUUUGGAGUGACUGGCAGGUCACCUGGAGACCUGAUAUUCACUUGUUAAUUUAAUUCACUGGUGUUUAUUAGUGGUUAUUGUGUUCUAUGGUCAGGGGUGGUGGUGGUGCAGGGACUGGUGGUGUAGGCUUCACCCAGGCUGUCCUGAUUGACUGAAUGUGGUAAGAUUAGUCAAUUCAACAGGUAAGACUCCUUGCUGUUCCCUGCCCAAGAGGUUUUGGUGCUGGAUUCAUUCAAAUUCUAGAAAUCUGGCCUCCUGGACUGUAGGGACAAGGUGGACCAAGUCCUUAGUAGCAAGAUCUUCUCAGGCUCUCUGAUCUGUCUUCAGGUUUGUUCUUCAUGUUAACCAUUGCUCUUUCCUUUAAUCUACAGACUGACUGACCUGGUCUGUUCUUAUCUAUAUUUAGGAUUAUAUGGCCUAGGGAUUACCAAGUAUGGAGAAGUUGUAGCCUGGUUAAAGGAACCUGAGGAUCCAAUAGACCUGCGAUUACAGAACUUGGAGAACCUACAUCCUGGUCAAGUCAUGACUGCAGCUAAGAUAAUCCAGAACUGUCCCCUUCCUACUGACUGUCUCAAGGUCUUGGCCCCGAGGACACCAGGCUCAACACAGCUGACAAGUUCAGCUGUAAAUUGAUUUUUGUAAUUUUUUUUUUCUCAUAAGGUUGAUCGUAUAUAAAUUGCCAUGACAUUUCAUGCAUAGUUCUAGUUUUAAUCUUUUGUCACUGAGUUUAAACAACUUGAUUCCCGAUUUGUUUCCUUUGCUGUAGUUCGCAAUCAGUUAGAAUUUAUGAGCUGGAUUUCCUUCACACUACAGAAUGAGGUAAACAGAGUCGACUCAUAAUAUGGAAAGGUCCUUGCCCUUCCCCUUCUUCUUGGUGCUGACAGAAAUCCAGUCAUGAAUUUUUACUGAGUGCUGUACCAUGGAGGUCGUGUCCAAAAUCAGACAUGGAUCCAUCUGCUUUUGUGACCUGGCCCAUCUAUGGUACAUCAUCCUACAAAAAAUGCAACUAACAAGUCAAUGUGAAGUUCUUUAGAACAGAAUGAAUGACAAUUUGUUUUGUAGCAUUUGUAGUUAUUUCAUCAGAGGCCUUUUGGCCACAUCAAGGACUGCACAUGAGAAGUCAUGGUGAUUUCAGUUCAUGGUUCCCUUGUUUUUAAUUUGGGGUGGAGGUCCACAGUAGUGCAGUUUUCAGGGAAGAGAAUAUAGAUGUUCAGGGUCACUAUAAGAUGAAUCGAGUGCUUGUCAAGAUGUUACUGUUGUUGUAAAUGUACUGCUGACUGCUCAUUUUUAGCCUACUGUUUAGACAUUGGUCUUUGUUUUUAGGGCCUGUGAAUACGCUGUCAGUUGUUGAAUUUAAUGACUAUUCAUGUCAUAGAUGUUUUUUGUUUAUGUAUGUUUAAUUUUUUUUGUCAAAUUUAUGCUCACCAAUUCUGUUAAACUGACACUGAUUUAGUCUAAAUUGUCUUUAAUAGCAGAAGUUAAAGGGCACUUAGAGGGACCUCUGAUAUCGAUGGUAAUGACUAAUCAGUUUGCCUUGUUGACUUAUGCAUUGAUUAUAUUCAUAGCUGCCUUGUUUUAUAUUAGUAAGGAAUCUCUGGGACCAAGGCCAACUGCUGCCUGGGCUGGCCUCUUCCUUUCUUUUUUUGUUGGGCCCAGACUCAACAAAACACACUUUGUAGUUACAUUUUAAUUUAAAAUUUUGAAAUAAACUACAUUUAACAUGACUGCACUGUCUCUCCCUCCUCCACGUUCUUCAACACUUAAGUCCAAGUAAUUUAAAAAAAUAAAAAUACAAAAUGUCUAUUUUUCAUGAAACUAAAUGCCUAGACACUAAAAUCGGUGUUGGUCACCUCGACUGUUGUAGAUGGAAACUUAUGAUGACAGCCCUGAGAUGUUUAAUAAUAGAACCUCAAACUAAAUCCCUGAAUUAUGAUCCUCAUUAGUUUGUUUUUGUCUGUUUAGCUUAAGUUUUACUUUAUUUUUUAAAACUCUGCCAAUUUGUUGGUGUGUAGUCUAACUUCAUAGAUAACUUGACCAGUUUGUUAUACAGUCCUGCAUUGACUACAUACUGUAGAGACGUUGAGACUGUCAAUUGUUUAUACAGUCUAAUUCUAUUUUUUUAAAUGCUCUUAUUUGAUGAGAGGUGCAGAAAAGAAAAUUU
This is a long non-coding RNA of Cynoglossus semilaevis (tongue sole), 4485 nucleotides long. RefSeq lists it as uncharacterized. The transcript is spliced from 5 exons. Lineage: Eukaryota; Metazoa; Chordata; Actinopteri; Pleuronectiformes; Cynoglossidae. The record is from RefSeq and is a predicted model, not a curated record.